UGAGGGAAUAUUGGGUCAAUGGACGAGAGUCUGAACCAGCCAAGUAGCGUGCAGGAUGACGGCCCUCCGGGUUGUAAACUGCUUUUAGUUGGGAAUAAAAAAGGUGACGUGUCAUCUAUUGUAUGUACCAUCAGAAAAAAGGACCGGCUAAUUCCGUGCCAGCAGCCGCGGUAAUACGGAAGGUCCGGGCGUUAUCCGGAUUUAUUGGGUUUAAAGGGAGCGUAGGCUGUCUUUUAAGCGUGUUGUGAAAUACUGUCGCUCAACGACAGAGGUGCAGCGCGAACUGGGAGACUUGAGUGCGCGGAAUGCAGGCGGAAUUCGUCGUGUAGCGGUGAAAUGCUUAGAUAUGACGAAGAACUCCGAUUGCGAAGGCAGCUUGCAGUAGCGUAACUGACGCUGAAGCUCGAAAGUGCGGGU
Molecule: ribosomal RNA, 417 nt
Filed under: uncultured Prevotella sp.
Lineage: Bacteria; Pseudomonadati; Bacteroidota; Bacteroidia; Bacteroidales; Prevotellaceae
Description: bacterial SSU rRNA
Rfam family: Bacterial small subunit ribosomal RNA
Source: RNAcentral